This is a long non-coding RNA of Pistacia vera, 195 nucleotides long. RefSeq lists it as uncharacterized. The record is from RefSeq and is a predicted model, not a curated record. The transcript has 3 exons. NCBI's taxonomy places the organism in Eukaryota, Viridiplantae, Streptophyta, Magnoliopsida, Sapindales, Anacardiaceae.
GAAGCUUUUAGAAGUAUAUUAGUUCCAGUGGAGUUCUUGAUGCUCUUACAAAAGUUCUGGUGGCAUUGUAUGAGCAAAAUGACAAGCCUUCUUCUGCCCUCGAGUUUAUUCAACAAAAAUUAGGAGGUCCUAGUGUAUCUGAUUAUGAAAAGCUACAAGCUGAAUUGUCAGAUUUGCAGAUGAAAUAUAAUGAUC